This 496-nucleotide ribosomal RNA is filed under the name uncultured bacterium. Its description in RNAcentral is "partial 16S ribosomal RNA". It matches the Rfam family "Bacterial small subunit ribosomal RNA", at positions 29 to 507 of the family's 1533-position model. The record is from RNAcentral.
AUGAACGCUGGCGGCGUGCCUAAUACAUGCAAGUCGCGCGAACGGACGAGAAGCUUGCUUCUCUGAUGUUAGCGGCGGACGGGUGAGUAACACGUGGAUAACCUACCUAUAAGACUGGGAUAACUUCGGGAAACCGGAGCUAAUACCGGAUAAUAUUUUGAACCGCAUGGUCCAAAAGUGAAAGACGGUCUUGCUGUCACUUAUAGAUGGAUCCGCGCUGCAUUAGCUAGUUGGUAAGGUAACGGCUUACCAAGGCAACGAUGCAUAGCCGACCUGAGAGGGUGAUCGGCCACACUGGAACUGAGACACGGUCCAGACUCCUACGGGAGGCAGCAGUAGGGAAUCUUCCGCAAUGGGCGAAAGCCUGACGGAGCAACGCCGCGUGAGUGAUGAAGGUCUUCGGAUCGUAAAACUCUGUUAUUAGGGAAGAACAUAUGUGUAAGUAACUGUGCACAUCUUGACGGUACCUAAUCAGAAAGCCACGGCUAACUACGUG